This 765-nucleotide ribosomal RNA is filed under the name Triticum aestivum (bread wheat). RNAcentral describes it as "partial small subunit ribosomal RNA". The record is from RNAcentral. Lineage: Eukaryota; Viridiplantae; Streptophyta; Magnoliopsida; Poales; Poaceae.
AUGUUGCUUGUCUGGCCAAGGAGUCUUGUAAGACCACCAGAAUCACAUUUCGUGCCUGCACUUCAAUUCUUCUGGCAGCAUCGUCGAAUGGAUUGGUCAGCUCUCACCUGCUCCAUCGCCGUCCUGAUCAUUCUGUUCCUGCCGCUGCGUGCGCCCGGCGACCGGCUUGUCUCCAGCAAGCCGCUCUCCCUCGGCACCACCAUCGUCUCGGAUGGCGGUGACUUCGCAUUUGGCUUCUUCCCCUCUUCCGGCUCAACGCCGUCCAACCUGUACAUCGACAUCUGGUACAACGGCAUCUCCGAGCUCACCGUGCUGUGGGUCGCUAACCGGGAAACCCCGGUCAGGAACACUACCUCCUCCGCGCCCACGCUCUCCCUCACCAACACCUCCAAUCUUGUUCUCUCUGAUGGUGAUGGUAGUCGUGUUGUUUGGACGACUGGCGUGGCUGCUGCCUCGAGCUCCUAUUCAUCAGAGGCAGUGCUUCUGAAGACCGGUAACCUCAUCAUCCCGUCAUCCAACGGCACCACGGUAUGGCAGAGCUUCGACCACCCAACUGACACGUUCCUACCUGGCAUGAAGAUGCGAAUCAGGUACAGGACAUGUGCGGGUGGGCGCCUGGUAUCCUGGAAAGGCUCCGGAGACCCCUCGCCAGGGAGCUUCUCCUAUGGCUGCAACCCAGCCACCAUUAUCCAGAUGUUCCUCUGGGACGGGUCACGCCCGGUAAUACCGCACCACCCCAUGGACGGGGUACCAGGUCAAGAAUGA